RNAcentral lists this ribosomal RNA (404 nucleotides) under Actinomycetes bacterium. RNAcentral describes it as "Actinobacteria bacterium partial 16S ribosomal RNA". It matches the Rfam family "Bacterial small subunit ribosomal RNA", at positions 355 to 776 of the family's 1533-position model. The record is from RNAcentral. Lineage: Bacteria; Bacillati; Actinomycetota; Actinomycetes.
UGGGGAAUAUUGGACAAUGGGCGCAAGCCUGAUCCAGCCAUGCCGCGUGAGUGAUGAAGGCCCUAGGGUUGUAAAGCUCUUUCACCGGUGAAGAUAAUGACGGUAACCGGAGAAGAAGCCCCGACUAACUUCGUGCCAGCAGCCGCGGUAAUACGAAGGGGGCUAGCGUUGUUCGGAUUUACUGGGCGUAAAGCGCACGUAGGCGGACUAUUAAGUCAGGGGUGAAAUCCCGGGGCUCAACCCCGGAACUGCCUUUGAUACUGGUAGUCUUGAGUUCGAGAGAGGUGAGUGGAAUUCCGAGUGUAGAGGUGAAAUUCGUAGAUAUUCGGAGGAACACCAGUGGCGAAGGCGGCUCACUGGCUCGAUACUGACGCUGAGGUGCGAAAGCGUGGGGAGCAAACAGG